RNAcentral lists this transfer RNA (71 nucleotides) under Camelus bactrianus (Bactrian camel). It matches the Rfam family "tRNA". From Rfam's summary of the family: Transfer RNA (tRNA) molecules are approximately 80 nucleotides in length. Their secondary structure includes four short double-helical elements and three loops (D, anti-codon, and T loops). The record is from Rfam by way of RNAcentral. Lineage: Eukaryota; Metazoa; Chordata; Mammalia; Artiodactyla; Camelidae. RNAcentral also lists the same sequence under 2 other names.
UGAGGCAUGGCUCAGGGUAGAGUGCAUGCUUAGCAGGCAUGAGGUCCUGGGUUCAGUCCCCAGUACCUCCA